RNAcentral lists this ribosomal RNA (237 nucleotides) under uncultured bacterium. RNAcentral's name for it is "partial 16S ribosomal RNA". It matches the Rfam family "Bacterial small subunit ribosomal RNA", at positions 99 to 334 of the family's 1533-position model. The record is from RNAcentral.
CGGACGGGUGAGUAACGCGUGAGCAAUUUGCCCUUUGGAGGGGAAUAACAGCCGGAAACGGUUGCUAAUACCGCAUAAGACACAACGGAGGCAUCUCUGAUGUGUGAAAGGAGAAAUCCGCCAAAGGAUGAGCUCGCGUCCCAUUAGGUAGUUGGUGAGGUAACGGCUCACCAAGCCGACGAUGGGUAGCCGGACUGAGAGGUUGGCCGGCCACACUGGAACUGAGACACGGUCCAG